AUUAAACUUUGAACCUAAUGACACCCUAAUUUGUCUUCGGCAGGGCCUUACCGGAAGAGCUGGGCCACCAGGAUUGAAAGGGUGAUCCUGGAUUAAUGGGUGAGCCAGGAGAAUAUGGUUACCCAGGUGACAAGGGUGCGGUGGGAUUACCAGGACCUCCAGGCAUUCGAGGAAAACCUGGACCACCCGGGAAAAUUGGUGAAAUGGGACCACUAGGGCCUGCAGGCCCACCUGGCCCAGAGGGUUUUCCUGGAGAUAUUGGUGUUCCAGGUCCCAAUGGUCCACCUGGAGUGAAGGGUCUUCUAGGUUCAAGAGGACCACCAGGGCCUCCUGGGCCCAAAGGACUUGAGGUAAAGCUCCACUGUUGCUGUUUAAUAAUACAGUACAUCUGUAUCAACU
This 399-nucleotide long non-coding RNA is filed under the name Scleropages formosus (Asian bonytongue). RNAcentral describes it as "lncRNA (ENSSFOG00015026892.1)". Lineage: Eukaryota; Metazoa; Chordata; Actinopteri; Osteoglossiformes; Osteoglossidae. The record is from RNAcentral.